This 622-nucleotide ribosomal RNA is filed under the name Methanosarcinales archaeon enrichment culture clone AD_Archaea_33. Its description in RNAcentral is "bacterial SSU rRNA". It matches the Rfam family "Archaeal small subunit ribosomal RNA", at positions 102 to 724 of the family's 1478-position model. The record is from RNAcentral. Lineage: Archaea; Methanobacteriati; Methanobacteriota; Methanomicrobia; Methanosarcinales.
GGACAACCUACCCUGAGGACGGGUAUAAACCCGGGAAACUGGGUAUAAUCCCCGAUAGUCCUCGGCUGCUGGAAUGCACCGAGGACGAAAGCUCCGGCGCCUUAGGAUGGGUCUGCGGCCUAUCAGGGUAGUAGUGGGUGUAACGUACCUACUAGCCUACGACGGGUACGGGUUGUGAGAGCAAGAGCCCGGAGAUGGAUUCUGAGACACGAAUCCAGGCCCUACGGGGUGCAGCAGGCGCGAAAACUUUACAAUGCUGGCAACAGCGAUAAGGGAACCUCGAGUGCCAGGUUACAAAUCUGGCUGUCGAGAUGCCUAAAAAGCAUUUCAUAGCAAGGGCCGGGCAAGACCGGUGCCAGCCGCCGCGGUAACACCGGCGGCUCGAGUGGUAACCGUUAUUAUUGGGUCUAAAGGGUCUGUAGCCGGCCGGAUAAGUCUCUUGGGAAAUCCAGCAGCCUAACUGUUGGGCUUUCAGGAGAUACUAUUCGGCUCGAGGCCGGGAGAGGUGAGAGGUACUUCAGGGGUAGGGGUGAAAUCUUGUAAUCCUUGAAGGACCACCAGUGGCGAAGGCGUCUCACCAGAACGGACCUGACGGCAAGGGACGAAAGCUAGGGGCACGAAC